ACUAUUCUAAUUUAAUAAAAAUAGGAGUUUUGUAACCUCCCAAUGAUCAGCC
Molecule: transfer RNA, 52 nt
Filed under: Strigamia maritima
Lineage: Eukaryota; Metazoa; Arthropoda; Chilopoda; Geophilomorpha; Linotaeniidae
Description: tRNA-Thr
Source: RNAcentral